RNAcentral lists this ribosomal RNA (352 nucleotides) under uncultured Acidobacteriota bacterium. RNAcentral describes it as "bacterial SSU rRNA". It matches the Rfam family "Bacterial small subunit ribosomal RNA", at positions 15 to 354 of the family's 1533-position model. The record is from RNAcentral. Lineage: Bacteria; Pseudomonadati; Acidobacteriota.
GAUCCUGGCUCAGAAUCAACGCUGGCGGCGUGCCUAACACAUGCAAGUCGAACGCGAAAGGGGCUUCGGCCCUGAGUAGAGUGGCAAACGGGUGAGUAACACGUGGGUGACCUACCUUCGAGUGGGGGAUAACGUCCCGAAAGGGACGCUAAUACCGCAUGACAUCCUGCCUUUGAACAGGCGGAGAUCAAAGCCGGGGAUCGCAAGACCUGGCGCUUGAAGAGGGGCCCGCGUCUGAUUAGCUAGUUGGUGAGGUAACGGCCCACCAAGGCGACGAUCAGUAUCCGGCCUGAGAGGGCGGACGGACACACUGGGACUGAGACACGGCCCAGACUCCUACGGGAGGCAGCAG